RNAcentral lists this ribosomal RNA (586 nucleotides) under Bacillus sp. CUL-LABH7L7. Its description in RNAcentral is "bacterial SSU rRNA". It matches the Rfam family "Bacterial small subunit ribosomal RNA", at positions 202 to 780 of the family's 1533-position model. The record is from RNAcentral. Lineage: Bacteria; Bacillati; Bacillota; Bacilli; Caryophanales; Bacillaceae.
GGCGGCUUCGGCUGUCACUUAUGGCUGGACCCGCGUCGCAUUAGCUAGUUGGUGAGGUAACGGCUCACCAAGGCAACGAUGCGUAGCCGACCUGAGAGGGUGAUCGGCCACACUGGGACUGAGACACGGCCCAGACUCCUACGGGANGCAGCAGUAGGGAAUCUUCCGCAAUGGACGAAAGUCUGACGGAGCAACGCCGCGUGAGUGAUGAAGGCUUUCGGGUCGUAAAACUCUGUUGUUAGGGAAGAACAAGUGCUAGUUGAAUAAGCUGGCACCUUGACGGUACCUAACCAGAAAGCCACGGCUAACUACGUGCCAGCAGCCGCGGUAAUACGUAGGUGGCAAGCGUUAUCCGGAAUUAUUGGGCGUAAAGCGCGCGCAGGUGGUUUCUUAAGUCUGAUGUGAAAGCCCACGGCUCAACCGUGGAGGGUCAUUGGAAACUGGGAGACUUGAGUGCAGAAGAGGAAAGUGGAAUUCCAUGUGUAGCGGUGAAAUGCGUAGAGAUAUGGAGGAACACCAGUGGCGAAGGCGACUUUCUGGUCUGUAACUGACACUGAGGCGCGAAAGCGUGGGAGCAACCAGAUAA